This 756-nucleotide ribosomal RNA is filed under the name uncultured bacterium. Its description in RNAcentral is "bacterial SSU rRNA". It matches the Rfam family "Bacterial small subunit ribosomal RNA", at positions 8 to 796 of the family's 1533-position model. The record is from RNAcentral.
AGAGUUUGAUCAUGGCUCAGGACGAACGCUGGCGGCGUGCUUAACACAUGCAAGUCGCACGAGAAAGUGGAGCAAUCCAUGAGUACAGUGGCGUACGGGUGAGUAACACGUGGAUCAUCUACCUCUUGGUGGGGAAUAACCCUGGGAAACCGGGGCUAAUACCGCAUAAGCCUGCAAAGGGAAAGCAGCAAUGCGCCGAGAGAGGAGUCUGCGGCCGAUUAGCUUGUUGGUAGGGUAAUGGCCUACCAAGGCAAUGAUCGGUAGCCGGCCUGAGAGGGCACACGGCCACACUGGCACUGAAACACGGGCCAGACUCCUACGGGAGGCAGCAGUGGGGAAUCUUGCACAAUGGGGGAAACCCUGAUGCAGCGACGCCGCGUGAGCGAUGAAGCCCUUCGGGGUGUAAAGCUCUUUCGGCAGGAACGAUAAUGACGGUACCUGCAGAAGAAGCUGCGGCUAACUACGUGCCAGCAGCCGCGGUAAUACGUAGGCAGCAAGCGUUGUUCGGAAUUACUGGGCGUAAAGAGUGUGUAGGCGGUUCUCUAAGUUCCGUGUGAAAUCUCCCGGCUUAACUGGGAGGGUGCGCGGAAGACUGGAGGGCUGGAGUAUGGGAGAGGAAAGCGGAAUUCCUGGUGUAGCGGUGAAAUGCGUAGAUAUCAGGAGGAACACCUGCGGUGUAGACAGCUUUCUGGACCAUCACUGACGCUGAGACACGAAAGCGUGGGUAGCAAACAGGAUUAGAUACCCUAGUAGUCC